GACGAACGCUGGCGGCGUGCUUAACACAUGCAAGUCGAACGGAAAGGCCCUGCUUGCAGGGUACUCGAGUGGCGAACGGGUGAGUAACACGUGGGUGAUCUGCCCUGCACUUCGGGAUAAGCUUGGGAAACUGGGUCUAAUACCGGAUAGGAACCAUCUUUAGUGUGGUGGUUGGAAAGUUUUUUCGGUGUAGGAUGAGCUCGCGGCCUAUCAGCUUGUUGGUGGGGUAAUGGCCUACCAAGGCGGCGACGGGUAGCCGGCCUGAGAGGGUGUACGGCCACAUUGGGACUGAGAUACGGCCCAGACUCCUACGGGAGGCAGCAGUGGGGAAUAUUGCACAAUGGGCGCAGGCCUGAUGCAGCGACGCCGCGUGGGGGAUGAAGGCCUUCGGGUUGUAAACUCCUUUCGCUAGGGACGAAGCUUUGUUGUGACGGUACCUAGAUAAGAAGCACCGGCUAACUACGUG
RNAcentral lists this ribosomal RNA (466 nucleotides) under uncultured bacterium. RNAcentral describes it as "partial 16S ribosomal RNA". It matches the Rfam family "Bacterial small subunit ribosomal RNA", at positions 28 to 507 of the family's 1533-position model. The record is from RNAcentral.